Mytilus californianus (California mussel) is the source of this 416-nucleotide long non-coding RNA. RefSeq lists it as uncharacterized. Lineage: Eukaryota; Metazoa; Mollusca; Bivalvia; Mytilida; Mytilidae. The record is from RefSeq and is a predicted model, not a curated record. The transcript has 3 exons.
ACAACUUUCGUCGGUCUGUAUAAAUAAAGACGUUGUGACAAAUAAGACAACUGAAUUACCAGUAAACAUCGAGGAUGCAUUCUUUAUUUAUUAUUGUAUUCUUUGGUAUCGUAGGUAUUUCACUGAGUUGUGUACCAUGUAAGAGAGACAGGGACUGUAAAUGUAGAUCUUACAGCAAUUCAACUCCUCACUGUCAUGAUUUUGGCAAUGGACGUAAAUGCUGUUACUGUGAAAUACCGAUUGAAUGUAGACCUAAUGGCUAUCCCAACGGUUGUCCGUCAAGAAGAUGUCGGUGUGUUCCUGAACUCUCUCACCACCACUGCGAUUGUCCACAGUAGAGGAGAAGAUUAAGUGGAGAAGAUCUACAAAAGUAAACAAGGCGUUUUGUACUUCUAUAAUAAAGUAUCAGUUAUAAA